UACGGAGGAUCCGAGCGUUAUCCGGAUUUAUUGGGUUUAAAGGGUGCGCAGGCGGGAGAUUAAGUCGGCGGUGAAAUUUUGCAGCUUAACUGUAAAAGUGCCUUCGAAACUGGUUUCCUUGAGUGUAGAUGAAGUAGGCGGAAUUUGUGGUGUAGCGGUGAAAUGCAUAGAUAUCACGAGGAACUCCGAUUGCGCAGGCAGCUUACUAAACUACUACUGACGCUCAGGCACGAAGGCGUGGGGAUCAAACAGGAUUAGAUACCCGGGUAGUCCCU
Molecule: ribosomal RNA, 275 nt
Filed under: uncultured prokaryote
Description: partial 16S ribosomal RNA
Rfam family: Bacterial small subunit ribosomal RNA
Source: RNAcentral